UACUUCCAAAAUUCCAGGGUGUGGCU
RNAcentral lists this non-coding RNA (26 nucleotides) under Rattus norvegicus (Norway rat). Lineage: Eukaryota; Metazoa; Chordata; Mammalia; Rodentia; Muridae. The record is from RNAcentral.